AGCGAACGCUGGCGGCAGGCCUAACACAUGCAAGUCGAACGGACCCUUCGGGGUUAGUGGCGGACGGGUGAGUAACACGUGGGAACGUGCCUUUAGGUUCGGAAUAGCUCCUGGAAACGGGUGGUAAUGCCGAAUGUGCCCUUCGGGGGAAAGAUUUAUCGCCUUUAGAGCGGCCCGCGUCUGAUUAGCUUGUUGGUGGGGUAAUGGCCCACCAAGGCUACGAUCAGUAGCUGGUCUGAGAGGAUGACCAGCCACAUUGGGACUGAGACACGGCCCAAACUCCUACGGGAGGCAGCAGUGGGGAAUCUUGCGCAAUGGGCGAAAGCCUGACGCAGCCAUGCCGCGUGUAUGAUGAAGGUCUUAGGACUGUAAAAUACUUUCACCGGUGAAGAUAAUGACUGUAGCCGGAGAAGAAGCCCCGGCUAACUUCGUGCCAGCAGCCGCGGUAAUACGAAGGGGGCUAGCGUUGCUCGGAAUUACUGGGCGUAAAGGGAGCGUAGGCGGACAUUUAAGUCGA
RNAcentral lists this ribosomal RNA (517 nucleotides) under uncultured bacterium. Its description in RNAcentral is "bacterial SSU rRNA". It matches the Rfam family "Bacterial small subunit ribosomal RNA", at positions 28 to 591 of the family's 1533-position model. The record is from RNAcentral.